UUAAGCGACUAAGCGUACACGGUGGAUGCCCUGGCAGUCAGAGGCGAUGAAGGACGUGCUAAUCUGCGAAAAGCGCCGGCGAGGUGAUAUGAACCUUUGACCCGGCGAUGUCCGAAUGGGGAAACCCAGUGCAAUUCGUUGCACUAUCGUUAACUGAAUACAUAGGUUAACGAGGCGAACCGGGGGAACUGAAACAUCUAAGUACCCCGAGGAAAAGAAAUCAACCGAGAUUCCCCCAGUAGCGGCGAGCGAACGGGGAGCAGCCCAGAGUCUGAAUCAGCUUGUGUGUUAGUGGAAGCGUCUGGAAAGUCGCACGGUACAGGGUGACAGUCCCGUACACGAAAGCACACAGGCUGUGAACUCGAAGAGUAGGGCGGGACACGUGGUAUCCUGUCUGAAUAUGGGGGGACCAUCCUCCAAGGCUAAAUACUCCUGACUGACCGAUAGUGAACCAGUACCGUGAGGGAAAGGCGAAAAGAACCCCGGCGAGGGGAGUGAAAAAGAACCUGAAACCGUGUACGUACAAGCAGUGGGAGCACCUUCGUGGUGUGACUGCGUACCUUUUGUAUAAUGGGUCAGCGACUUAUAUUCUGUAGCAAGGUUAACCGUAUAGGGGAGCCGAAGGGAAACCGAGUCUUAACUGGGCGUUAAGUUGCAGGGUAUAGACCCGAAACCCGGUGAUCUAGCCAUGGGCAGGUUGAAGGUUGGGUAACACUAACUGGAGGACCGAACCGACUAAUGUUGAAAAAUUAGCGGAUGACUUGUGGCUGGGGGUGAAAGGCCAAUCAAACCGGGAGAUAGCUGGUUCUCCCCGAAAGCUAUUUAGGUAGCGCCUCGUGAACUCAUCUUCGGGGGUAGAGCACUGUUUCGGCUAGGGGGCCAUCCCGGCUUACCAACCCGAUGCAAACUACGAAUACCGAAGAAUGUUAUCACGGGAGACACACGGCGGGUGCUAACGUCCGUCGUGAAGAGGGAAACAACCCAGACCGCCAGCUAAGGUCCCAAAGUCAUGGUUAAGUGGGAAACGAUGUGGGAAGGCACAGACAGCCAGGAUGUUGGCUUAGAAGCAGCCAUCAUUUAAAGAAAGCGUAAUAGCUCACUGGUCGAGUCGGCCUGCGCGGAAGAUGUAACGGGGCUAAACCAUGCACCGAAGCUGCGGCAGCGACGCUUAUGCGUUGUUGGGUAGGGGAGCGUUCUGUAAGCCGUUGAAGGUGUGCUGUGAGGCAUGCUGGAGGUAUCAGAAGUGCGAAUGCUGACAUAAGUAACGAUAAAGCGGGUGAAAAGCCCGCUCGCCGGAAGACCAAGGGUUCCUGUCCAACGUUAAUCGGGGCAGGGUGAGUCGACCCCUAAGGCGAGGCCGAAAGGCGUAGUCGAUGGGAAACAGGUUAAUAUUCCUGUACUUGGUGUUACUGCGAAGGGGGGACGGAGAAGGCUAUGUUAGCCGGGCGACGGUUGUCCCGGUUUAAGCAUGUAGGCGGAACGAUUAGGUAAAUCCGGUCGUUUAUUAACGCUGAGGUGUGAUGACGAGGCACUACGGUGCUGAAGUAACAAAUGCCCUGCUUCCAGGAAAAGCCUCUAAGCAUCAGGUAACACGAAAUCGUACCCCAAACCGACACAGGUGGUCAGGUAGAGAAUACCAAGGCGCUUGAGAGAACUCGGGUGAAGGAACUAGGCAAAAUGGUGCCGUAACUUCGGGAGAAGGCACGCUGAUAUGUAGGUGAAGCCCCUGCGGGUGGAGCUGAAAUCAGUCGAAGAUACCAGCUGGCUGCAACUGUUUAUUAAAAACACAGCACUGUGCAAACACGAAAGUGGACGUAUACGGUGUGACGCCUGCCCGGUGCCGGAAGGUUAAUUGAUGGGGUUAGCGGUAACGCGAAGCUCUUGAUCGAAGCCCCGGUAAACGGCGGCCGUAACUAUAACGGUCCUAAGGUAGCGAAAUUCCUUGUCGGGUAAGUUCCGACCUGCACGAAUGGCGUAAUGAUGGCCAGGCUGUCUCCACCCGAGACUCAGUGAAAUUGAACUCGCUGUGAAGAUGCAGUGUACCCGCGGCAAGACGGAAAGACCCCGUGAACCUUUACUAUAGCUUGACACUGAACACUGGUCCUUGAUGUGUAGGAUAGGUGGGAGGCUUUGAAGCGUGGACGCCAGUCUGCGUGGAGCCGACCUUGAAAUACCACCCUUUAAUGGCUGGUGUUCUAACGUAGACCCGUAAUCCGGGUUGCGGACAGUGUCUGGUGGGUAGUUUGACUGGGGCGGUCUCCUCCCAAAGAGUAACGGAGGAGCACGAAGGUUAGCUAAUCCUGGUCGGACAUCAGGAGGUUAGUGCAAUGGCAUAAGCUAGCUUGACUGCGAGAGUGACGGCUCGAGCAGGUGCGAAAGCAGGUCAUAGUGAUCCGGUGGUUCUGAAUGGAAGGGCCAUCGCUCAACGGAUAAAAGGUACUCCGGGGAUAACAGGCUGAUACCGCCCAAGAGUUCAUAUCGACGGCGGUGUUUGGCACCUCGAUGUCGGCUCAUCACAUCCUGGGGCUGAAGUAGGUCCCAAGGGUAUGGCUGUUCGCCAUUUAAAGUGGUACGCGAGCUGGGUUUAGAACGUCGUGAGACAGUUCGGUCCCUAUCUGCCGUGGGCGCUGGAGAAUUGAGGGGGGCUGCUCCUAGUACGAGAGGACCGGAGUGGACGCAUCACUGGUGUUCGGGUUGUCAUGCCAAUGGCACUGCCCGGUAGCUAAAUGCGGAAAAGAUAAGUGCUGAAAGCAUCUAAGCACGAAACUUGCCCCGAGAUGAGUUCUCCCUGACCCUUUAAGGGUCCUGAAGGAACGUUGAAGACUACGACGUUGAUAGGUCGGGUGUGUAAGCGCAGCGAUGCGUUGAGCUAACCGAUACUAAUGAACCGUGAGGCUUAACCU
This 2903-nucleotide ribosomal RNA is filed under the name Enterobacter asburiae. RNAcentral's name for it is "23S ribosomal RNA". It matches the Rfam family "Bacterial large subunit ribosomal RNA". Lineage: Bacteria; Pseudomonadati; Pseudomonadota; Gammaproteobacteria; Enterobacterales; Enterobacteriaceae. The record is from RNAcentral.